This 223-nucleotide long non-coding RNA is filed under the name Homo sapiens (human). RNAcentral's name for it is "LHRI_LNC652.1". Lineage: Eukaryota; Metazoa; Chordata; Mammalia; Primates; Hominidae. The record is from RNAcentral.
AUUUCUGCAACAACGGUGCAACGUAAUGCCUGACACACAGCAGGUGCUUGGAAAUGUCUGUUGAAUACAACAGACGAAAGCCUUUCAGACUGCUGCUUGGUGUGACAUCACUAGUAAGGGCACUGAUUGAAUAAUCAAGCAUUUCCAGGCUGGAAGUUGCUAUCGUGGCUGACCAAACCAGAGGGCAUCGGUCAGAUGCAGCAUAACCUAUCCCCAAAUCAGG